RNAcentral lists this ribosomal RNA (253 nucleotides) under uncultured bacterium. RNAcentral's name for it is "partial 16S ribosomal RNA". It matches the Rfam family "Bacterial small subunit ribosomal RNA", at positions 524 to 776 of the family's 1533-position model. The record is from RNAcentral.
UACGUAGGGUGCGAGCGUUGUCCGGAAUUAUUGGGCGUAAAGAGCUUGUAGGCGGUUUGUCGCGUCUGCCGUGAAAAUCCGGGGCUCAACCCCGGACUUGCGGUGGGUACGGGCAGACUAGAGUGUGGUAGGGGAGACUGGAAUUCCUGGUGUAGCGGUGAAAUGCGCAGAUAUCAGGAGGAACACCGGUGGCGAAGGCGGAUCUCUGGGCCGAUACUGACGCUGAGGAGCGAAAGCGUGGGGAGCGAAUAGG